AUGGGAUGCUGGAGCAGGGGUUGGGAUGCCGGAGUGGGGAUGCUGGUCCCUGUCUGCCUCUCGGAGAGCUGCUGGGGGGGGGGACCAGGAACCCCGGGGAGGCCGGACGGUGGGUGCAGGGGGAUGCCGGGCUCCGGGUGCUCCCCCUUCUCCCACACCUGGCUGUUUAUCCCAGGGAUGCUCUGCGGAGAAGCCCAUGCAGCCACCGAGCUGUGCCGGGGCACGGCUGGAUUUAAGCAGUGCCAACGCGUGGCUGGAUUUGGUGCCCCGGCUUGUAGCACCCCCCCCAGCCCUUCCCUGCCCCCCAGACUGGUCUCGGGAGUGUGGGUGUCCCUGGAGUUCAGCCACCCCCGGUCCGAAGGGCUCCUGCUGUGUCGGAGGCAGCUGGACCGGCCGUACAUUAAUAGAUUACACAGAGGAUUUGGGCUCUGUGCAGGCAGCGAGGGGAGCGCUGGCAGGAGGCAGCGCGGGCAAGGCCAAGGCUGCUGGGCGAGCCGGCGGGCACCAACACGGCCCCCCGCUCCCCCCCAUAACACCUUUUCCAGCCGAGGUAAGUGGAAGGUUCAGCCACGGGGAUGGGAUGCUGGAGCAGGGGUUGGGAUGCCGGAGUGGGGAUGCUGGUCCCUGUCUGCCUCUCGGAGAGCUGCUGGGGGGGGGGACCAGGAACCCCGGGGAGGCCGGACGGUGGGUGCAGGGGGAUGCCGGGCUCCGGGUGCUCCCCCUUCUCCCACACCUGGCUGUUUAUCCCAGGGAUGCUCUGCGGAGAAGCCCAUGCAGCCACCGAGCUGUGCCGGGGCACGGCUGGAUUUAAGCAGUGCCAACGCGUGGCUGGAUUUGGUGCCCCGGCUUGUAGCACCCCCCCCAGCCCUUCCCUGCCCCCCAGACUGGUCUGGGGAGUGUGGGUGUCCCUGGAGUUCAGCCACCCCCGGUCCGAAGUGGUGCUGCCCUGGGCUGGAGGGUCUGGGGUCAUGGCCAGCCAUGGGCAGGCAGAAAGUUCCCUUUCUGCCACCAAUUUUUGGGGUGGCACAGGAGGCCAGGUGCUUGCAGAAGGUCUCGUGCAACUAUGGCUUGUGCCCUGUCAGCUGCUGUGCCUCAGUUUCCCCAUCCUGCACGUCCCUACCAUUAGCCAGCAUUAGUCCAUCGUGGGAGGGAGGUCUUGCUCCCCAAAUCAGAGGUGACCGUCCACUUAAGCCUUUUCCAGAGCUCUGUACAGAUCUAUAUGGAUGCCUAAAAUCCCUCCUGGCCUUUCCUGGGGCCAUGGCCGGGCAAGAGAAGGACAGCCUUCCCCCAUCCCCCCAGAUAGCUUCCAGCUGUGAUUUGUUGCUCUCCACCCCAAGAGCUACCAUCCAAAUUACAGUCAAAUCUGGCCAGGUCCUCAGGUUUUGCAUGUGUCUGGGGACACGGCACGGCUACAAGAAGGCAGUGCCAGGCAGCCUCCCCGUGCCAGGCUGGCCUCGCACCGUACAGGUAAGUGUAGCCUUUGCCUUAGGAAAACAACCCCAAAAGAGCUCCCGGAGCCAUGGGCUGCUCCACCAUGGGGUUGGAAGCCUUCCCUGGAGGAUGGUGGCAUGCUGUCCCCAUCCUGGGCGAUCCCUUCUUUGGGGGGUGCGGAGCUGA
Molecule: long non-coding RNA, 1617 nt
Filed under: Calidris pugnax (ruff)
Lineage: Eukaryota; Metazoa; Chordata; Aves; Charadriiformes; Scolopacidae
Description: lncRNA (ENSCPUG00000012161.1)
Source: RNAcentral